GGCAUAUAGAGGUUCCCAGGCUAGGGGUCUAAUCGGAGCUGUAGCCACUGACCUACACCACAGCCAGAGCAAUGCCAGAUCCGAGCCUCGUCUGCGACCUACGUCACAGCUCACGGCAACACCGGAUCCUUAACCCACUCAGCGAGGCCAGGGAUCAAACCCACAACCUCAUGGUUCCUAGUCAGAUUCGUUUCUGCUGCACCAUGACGGGAACUCCAGGAGUGUCUGCGUGUUUGAGAGGAAGGAUGACUGUGAUAUGGACAAGGUCGCUAGCAUCGGCUUUGUCUAGGAAAUAAAAGGUAUUCUAAAGGCCAGUUUAUCAUCUGCUGAUCAGAUUCCUUUAUGUCAGUUUCUCAUAAUUGUCCAAAAAACUAGUAGCUGGGUAAUGCCCCCAAGAGACUCAUUAGAAACACUGGGUUAUCCUUCCCGUUCUCUGAAUGGAUGGAAGGCGAGCAUAGUAUAUAAUACACAUGCUAUGAUGUUAGUAAUACACACCACUGCCUACCUGGACCUUCUCAACCACAACCACCAUACGUGGUAGAUAGAUGUAUUAGUCAGGGCACUCCAGAGAAAUGGAACCUACAGGGGAUGGAUAUAUACAAAUUAUGAGCAAUUGGCUCUUGCACUUAUGGGAGCCAGGAAGUCCCAUGAUCUGAGAGCUGUGAGCUGGUGACUCAGGGAAGCCAGUGGUUUAACUCAGUCUGAAUCCAAAAGCCUGGGAACCAGGGGAGCGGAGGAUGUAAAUCCUAGUCUGAGGGCAGAAGAUGAGAUGGAUGUCCCAACUCAAGCAGUGAGCCAAGAAAAAGAGGACAAAUCUCUCCUUCCCCCACCUUUUGUUCUAUUCAGGCCCCCAACGAAUUAGAGGAUGCCCAUGCCCACUGGGCAGGGCCAUCUGCCUUCCUGAGAGCACUUAUUCAAGGGCUAAUUGCAUCUGGAAACACCCAGAAACAAUGCUUCAUCUGGGCGCCCAGUAACGCAGUCAAGUGGACAUGUAAAAUUAACCAUCACAGCAGGGAAGGAAUUAUUCCCAACUCCUCCAGCACCUUGAUCUUGAGUGCUGAUCAGUGAUACCUGAGUUACAGAGGUUUUCAUGGUCACAUAGUAACAAAUGGCCAGGCUGGAACUAGGAUGUAGUUGUUAUGACUACAGGCCUUAUCUUUUAGAAAACCUGGGGUAUGGUGGGGAGCAGGGCAAGGACACACCAUCCUGGCGGUUCCGUCCUGCAAUUGUGAUGGUCUUGAAACAGGGAGCCAUGGCCACAAUCAUGCUGGGUUACCCAGAGAGGAGCUAAUGACAUAAUCAUGGACCCUCUACAGUCAAUUAUUGCAAUUACUGGAAGCCACUCUCUUGUCAUAUUUCAUUUAGCACCAAACGGCACUAGAGAGGCAAGUGGCACCGAGGGUCCUGGGCCCAUUGUCGCUGCCCUCCUUGGAACAGGCAUCUAAAAAGGAAAAUGCCAACCCCAAUAAACUGUUCCUGCAGAAGCCAUUAGGCUGGGUGACAUGUUCACUUAGGGUGACAUAUAAUGAUCAUGUAAAACACGCACACUGUAUAAUAUGAUUAAACAAACUCAACCAGCUCCAGAGAGAGCCAGCUGAACCAUGAGCUGGAGCCUGGCUCUGCAGCAAGAGCCCCCUGGCCUUGGUGGGGGGCACCUGCCUCAGGGUAGGUACUACGUACAGGGUGUUUCUGUUAUCAAUUAUUCAUCCAUCCACUGACUCACCCAGCCACUCACUUCUUCAUUCAACAGGUAUUUCCCGAGUGUCUGCUAUGGGAGGGACACUGUGAUAACUACUGGGGAGAAAAUGAUGGAUGGUUUGGGACUUUCUGGGGAAUGUCCUGCUCUUGCUGGCUGUAAUCAGUAUAAUCCAUAAUCAGUAAUCCCCUGUAAUUGUCACUUACACAUUUGUCCUUUAAAUGGUGUAUUUAUAACUCCCACGUUCUGGUUUUCAACUUUUAAAAGCACCUGCUGAUUUUCUCCCCUAAAGAUCAGGAUGUGAGUACACUUACACUUCCUUUCACCGCUUUACCCUACUUCUUUUUUUUUGGUCAUUAGUUCUCAUUACUCAUCACUAUCCUUAUUAUUAAUUUUUGACAAAACGUAACACAAUAAGUGGUUGACGUAUGAGUCUGCAGCGAAGGGAGACACCUGCCCAUUUCAGGUUCUCUCGUCAUCUCAGAGGACCCACUUCUGUCUCAAACGGAGACUAAGCUACCGAAAUCCAGAUGUACUUAGGACAGUGAGACGGGGGUGCUCCCAGGUCCCCUAAUAUACACUCCAUAGGGCCCAAGGGACAUGGAGGAGGUAGGGGGUCUCAGGAGCCAUGGGGUUCAUCCACCUGACUCCCGGUAGAUAUUCUGUUAGAAUGGUUAUCAGGAACCUGUAUGACUUGAUGAUUCGAAAUCACAUAACUUCCAAAGGAUGUUGGAAAGUUUACUCCUUUAGAUACAAUUUAACUUCGUCAGGGCAGAACAGUCUUAAAGUAGUUUCUGGAAUAUCCAUACUGGUUGCAUUUUGGGAUAGGGGGUUGCUAUUAUUUUAAACACAGACAUGCUUACAGAUCUUGAUGUUUCCCACGUGGGCGUGCGAUUAGUGAGGAAUUUGCAGAAUGUUUCCAUCCAGCGUAAUUGUGGACAACAUUUUUGGCUCAUAGGAAAGGAGAACAGGAGAGAAAAUGGAUAUACAUGUAGAGCCACAGAUAAAAUACAUUUAUUUGGAAGGGAAAAGGGUCCUGAUUGCCUAUUUCAAGGAAUGAAGGGGGUUUUCCAGACCGCCAUGCAGUUCUAUGACACCUGCUAGGGUGUCUUACGAUUCAACUCAAUUCCGACUCUCUCCACCUGGCGACAGCAUCUGAUCCCAUAGGUUAGGGGCUCAGUCCCACGGGACUGCUCUCCCCCUCCCCUAGACACACUUCAGACGCCAAUCUCAAGUCCAGGGGUGUCACCUGUGCUUCUGACCGAUCUGCUAUAGAGCAGAGGUUCCAAGGACUCCUCCCUGGGUUUUACUAAUUAGCUGGAGCAGCUCACAGAACCAAGAGAAACAUGUUACGUACUAGACGAUGUUUAUUAUAAAAGGAAAGAACUCAGGAACGCCAGAUGUUAUGAUGUAUGGGGCAAGGUGUGGGGAAAGAUGUCCCACUCCCCCUAAAUCUCUACGUGUCCACAAACUGGAAGCUCUCUGAACCUGUCUUUUUGGGGUUUUAUGGAGGCUUCAUUAGACAGUCAUGAUUUUUAGCACCACACCUGUAGCAUGUGGAAGUUCCCAGGCUAGGGGUUGAAUCAGAGCUGCAGCUGCUGGCCUAUGGCGGGAUCCGAGCUGUGUCUGUGACCUACACCACAGCUCACAGCAACACUGCGUCCUUAACCCCCCCUCCCCCGAGCGAGGCCAAAGAUUGAACCCUUGUUUUCAUGGAUACCUAUCGGGUUCAUUACAGCUGAGCCACAAUGGGAACUCCCACACAGGCAUGAUUAAUUCAGUCAUUACCCACUGGUGAUUGGUUCAGUCUCUAGCCUGUCUCUGCUCCCUGAUGUCUGGGGAGGGGGCAGCAUGAGGUAGGACAGAACGUUCCAACCCCCAAUGAUAUGGCUGGUUUCUUGGCAACCAGCCUCCCACCUUAGGUGAGGUCCAAAAGUCACCUCCUUAACAAAACAAAAGAUAAUUUGCUAGCUCUCCUCAUUUAGGAAACUUCAAGGUUUUUUAGGGGCUCAGUGCCAGAAACAGGGAUGAAAACCAAAAUAAAUAUAUUUCUUAUAAAUCACAGUAUCAUAGAGGGAACUUUACCUGUGAAAUAUACAAGAUGAGAACAAUGCAAAGCCACACAUGGGAACCCACAAGUUUAGGCUAUGGAUGUAAGUGCUGUGUGUCUCACAUUCUCAUCUGUGAUGCGGCUUCUAAGACCAGCCAAAUGGGUUGCUCUGAGGAUUAAACGAAAUAUCACUGCAAGACCCCUUUCACAGAGACUGGCAGACAGUAGCUGCUCAAUCAACGCAGCUUUUACUUACAUUUUAAAUAAUGGGGAGCCUACCCCCUACACGAGUGCUAUUGGUUGUCAUUUCAAAUAUUCUAGUCAGGGUUAUUUUCCCGUAACGUGAGAUUGGGAUGGUGCGGUCUGUGAGGGCUAGUGCAAGACUUCAACUUCAUUGUUAUACUAAUCCUAACAAUAACAAUAGUAAUUAUAAUGAUGAUAAACAAAAGCAAGUCUGUACUGAGCCUCUACUGUAUGCCAGGGAUUGUUCAGCUGUCAUUAUCUCAUUUAAUCCUCUCAGCAACCUACAGAGGUAGGAAAAGGGGGAUGAGGAAGGAGAGAGAGAGAUUACACGGCGUUAUUUAUCUUGGUGUUCCCAGGACCUUAUUUUUUUUAUUUUUCAAUGUUUAAUGUUUUGGCUGUCCCGAGACAUACAGAGUUUUCCCAGGCCAGGGAUCAGAUCCUUGCUGUGGUUGCAACCUAUGCUGCCGCGGAACCCCGGAUCCUUAGCCUACUGUGCUGUGCUGGGGAUUGAACCUGUGUCUCGGUGUCCCAGAGACCUUGCCGAUCCCAUUGUGCCAUGGCGGGAACUUGUUCCCAGGACCUAAGGAUGGAGGCCAAGAGAACCAACCAUGUCCUUAGGGGGCUGGAACAUUCCGUCCUACAACCACCUGCUAAAUGGAGAUCCCUGAAGGUCAGUGGAUUAAUGAUGGAAUGAAUAUGUGGGAAAACGAGUGGAUGAAGAUAAAGCAAUAACUGCUGAGAUACAGGCCCCUCGCUCACUGUGCACCCACCCGAUGCGCCCUAGGGACCCGCGCAUUUCCAGAACAUUCUCUGGGCUGCUCUCCCUGCAAGAGCGGAACAGGACAUCACCGUGCCAGUUUUCCUCUCUGUGGCUCUAAUUACCUGCUCAUUGGCAUGCAAGGACCUCUUCAACCCCGUUCCUGAGAGGGAGUGGAAGUUCUGUGAGAAUCGUACCCAUUAAGGCCUUUUACGAUCACCAUUAUGUAAUAAAGAGCAUCUGGAGUCUGAGGAAUUAUUGCGAGCUUUUAUUUUGUUUUAAGUAUAACUAUCUCCUCAUCCCCUUCUUCCCUCGGAUGACUGCGGAAACAGUUAUAGCUGGGCUGUCUUGGCCCAGAGCCGGUGGUGGUGGACAGCAUCCGUGCCUCCUUCCUCUUUUUUUCAGGAGCCCAGUUCAGUUCUGACAUCUCCCCUUCCCCCCACAGACCUGUGCCGCCAGAUGAGCUGACCUCCCUCUCAGUCUCAGGUGGGUGGAGUGGCCUACGGGAACUUUUGUCUCGUUACAAAUGGCAGGUUUAGGGACAACCACUGAUAGGAUGCCAGGAGGAUGCUGGACAUCCUUUGGAUAAAUCUUGCUCUCAAGAGAGAACCACAGGAAGAAAAGACGUCCUUCUUCCCCUGGGUGCUGGCCCAUCAGGAUGUAAUGCCCGGAGCUGCUCAGCCAUCCUUCCACCAGCCUGUGCUGAAGCUGACACCCCGGAGGGUGGAGCAGAGACGUGACACCACCUGGGCCUGUGAUGACAUCACCGAGCUGUGGCUCCACAGCCCUGUUCCACCUCUGGAUGUUCUCUGACAGGAGAAAAUGUGCUCCUGGGUUGUCUAAACCUUUUUUGGGGAUAUUUGCAGCUGAAAGCACCCCUAACUGUUAAAGGACCCCAAGAAUGCAGAAAUCCCAGAGGGGACCAAGUUCCCAAGAUAAACUCAAUUUCCUGAUUGGGAGGAGAGUCUAGGCAGGUUCUCUUCAAAGUUUCCAAAGGUGUUUUAUC
This 5752-nucleotide long non-coding RNA is filed under the name Sus scrofa (pig). RNAcentral describes it as "lncRNA (ENSSSCG00015055667.1)". The record is from RNAcentral. Lineage: Eukaryota; Metazoa; Chordata; Mammalia; Artiodactyla; Suidae.